Molecule: ribosomal RNA, 405 nt
Filed under: uncultured bacterium
Lineage: Bacteria
Description: bacterial SSU rRNA
Rfam family: Bacterial small subunit ribosomal RNA
Source: RNAcentral
CAUGGCUCAGAUUGAACGCUGGCGGAAUGCUUUACACAUGCAAGUCGGGCGGCAGCGCGGGGGCAACCCUGGCGGCGAGCGGCGAACGGGUGAGUAAUACAUCGGAACGUACCCAGUCGUGGGGGAUAGCCCGGCGAAAGCCGGAUUAAUACCGCAUACGCCCUGAGGGGGAAAGCGGGGGACCGGAAACGGCCUCGCGCGAUUGGAGCGGCCGAUGGCGGAUUAGCUAGUUGGUGGGGUAAAGGCCUACCAAGGCGACGAUCCGUAGCUGGUCUGAGAGGAUGAUCAGCCACACUGGAACUGAGACACGGUCCAGACUCCUACGGGAGGCAGCAGUGGGGAAUCUUGCGCAAUGGGCGAAAGCCUGACGCAGCGAUGCCGCGUGAACGAAGAAGGCCUUCGGGU